This 651-nucleotide long non-coding RNA is filed under the name Sus scrofa (pig). RNAcentral describes it as "lncRNA (ENSSSCG00035055935.1, ENSSSCG00055026770.1)". The record is from RNAcentral. Lineage: Eukaryota; Metazoa; Chordata; Mammalia; Artiodactyla; Suidae.
UUGCUAUGAAAUAUUGGUUUGAACUUAAAACCAGAAAUCCUGAGUGUAGUUUUCUGCCAAAUAGGUGCUAGUUAAAACCAGCUGCCUGAAGCGGAACUUUUGCCUGCUUGAAGCUUUGCCUGUGAGCCGAUCUCAGACUGAGCCCUUUCAAAGGAGAGCCUGCUCUGCAUGUGCUUUUCCAGGAUGGAUGAAGAUUCAGGAUUGUUUCAGGGGAGAAAUCCUGGCUGAAAUUCAGUGGGACACAUCUACACUCUUGAAAUGAAUGUACAAGGUAUUGGGACCCUCCACUGGAAUGAGCUGUGGCAACACCCAGGGCCAGCUGAGCCAUAUUGGAGCCCAGAGUGAAAGUGUCUCGGCCAUUUGUCAAAUGCUUAUGAAGCUUUGCUCUGUGGGAGGCGCCAUGCUGACCGUUGGAGAUGGGAAAGCCAAGGGAAAACGGUCUCCAGGAGUUUAACGUCCAGUGGGAAAGGUAAGAGUGAGAAAUGUGACCAUAUAGCCUGGUCAUCACAAAGCCAUAAACCUGUACCACCGUAAAGAAACACCGGCUGUAACCACGUUUCCGCCCUCAGACUUGGGAAGCCUCCAUCAGGGGAGCACAGUUUGAAUGGAGCCUUUCCUAGGAGUUUUCCUGGCAAAGACACAAGUAAGAAG